GAAUCCAUUUUUCCCCCAAAAGAGAGAGAGGAAACAAAAGAGUUAAACAAUGGCGUUCGUCAAACUCAACUUCGAAACCACAAGGCAAAGAGAGUAUUGCAUCACCCACAACGAUAAACCUUAAUCCAAUUCCUUUCCUAAGCUUUCUCUUCAAAAUCCUCCUCCCAAAAUUACCCAAUCAAUCAUCUUCUAGGGUUUCUAAAUUGCUUUCAAAUUCGAUCCAAUCAUCUUCCAAAACCAUACCAAUUCGAAGCUUUCACACCCUAACAAUGGCGAUGAAGCCGUUAAACAACAUCUGGAUCCGUCGUCAACAAUGUCCUUGUGGUGAUUGGAAAUGCUAUAUAAGAUUCGAAGGAGACGAAUCAAUAACGAAGAGCGAGCUCGAAUCAUCAUCAACAACAACAACGAGUAAUACAGUUUCAUCACUAUAUGAUAAUACUGUGUUUAUGCCUUAUGUUGGUCAAAUCUUCGGAACAGACGACGAAGCGUUUGAGUAUUACAGUACAUUUGCUAGGAAGAGUGGGUUCUCGAUUAGGAAAGCUCGGUCUACGGAGAGUCAGAACUUAGGUGUGUAUAGGAGAGAUUUCGUUUGUUAUCGUUCUGGUUUUAAUCAACCUAGGAAGAAAGCUAAUGUAGAGCAUCCACGGGAACGUAAGUCUGUUAGAUGUGGAUGUGAUGGUAAGUUGUAUUUGACUAAAGAAGUUGUUGGUGGUGUGAGUCAUUGGUAUGUUUCACAGUUUAGUAAUGUUCAUAACCAUGAGCUUUUGGAAGAUGAUCAAGUUAGGUUGCUUCCUGCUUAUAGGAAGAUUAAGCAAGAUGAUCAGGAUAGGAUUCUUUUGUUGUCUAAAGCUGGUUUUCCUGUGAAUCGGAUUGUUAAGUUGUUGGAGUUAGAGAAAGGUGUUCAGGCUGGGCAGUUGCCGUUUAUUGAGAAAGAUGUUAGGAACUUUGUUAGGGCGUGUAAGAAGAGUGUUCAAGAGAAUGAUGCUUUUCUUAGUGAGAAACGGGAUAGUGAUACGCUUGAGCUUCUUGAGUCUUGUAAAGUUUUGGCUGAGAGAGAUAUGGAAUUUGGUUAUGAUUGUACGUCUGAUGAGAAUCAGAAAGUUGAAAACCUUGCGUGGGCUUAUGGGGAUUGUGUUCGGGCGUAUUCUUUGUUUGGGGAUGUGGUUGUUUUCGACACUACUUAUCGGUCGAUCCCUUAUGGGUUGCUUCUUGGGGUGUUUUUUGGGAUAGACAACAAUGGUAAGGCGAUUCUUUUGGGAUGUGUUUUGCUGCAAGAUGAAAGUUGUCAUUCUUUCACAUGGGCUUUACAGACAUUUAUUCGUUUCAUGAGGGGGCGGCAUCCUCAGACAAUACUGACGGAUAUAGAUACUGGACUUAAAGAUGCUAUUGCAAGGGAGAUGCCUAAUACUAACCAUGUGGUAUUUAUGUGGCACAUAGUCUCCAAGCUAGCAAGCUGGUUUUCUCAGACUCUUGGGUCGCACUAUGAUGAAUUUAGAGCUGGGUUUGAGAUGUUAUGCCGUGUAGGGAAUGUAGAUGAAUUUGAACAGCAGUGGAAUCUCCUUGUCACUCGGUUUGGUCUUGUUCCAGAUAGACAUGCGGCUUUGCUUUAUUCGUGCCGAGCAUCCUGGUCACCUUGUUACAUCAGAGAACAUUUUGUUGCUCAAACUAUGACCCCUGACUUUAAUCUAUCUAUAGAAUCUUUCUUGAAAAGAAUUGUUUCUGGGCCGACAUGCAUGCAACUAUUACUUGAAGAGAUAGCAUUGCAGGUCAGUGCUGCUGCAUGUCUAGCUAAGCAAAUCCCGCCACGAUUCACUUAUUCGAGCUUGAAAACCUGUAUGCCUAUGGAAGAUCAUGCAAGGGAGAUUCUGACGCCUUUCGCCUUUAGCGUAUUACAAAACGAAAUGGUUUUGUCUGUGCAGUAUGCUGUGUCUGAGAUGGCCAAUGGUCCAUACAUCGUACAUCACUUUAAGAAAAUGGAAGGGGAAUGUUGUGUGAUUUGGAACCCGGAAAAUGAGGAGAUCCAAUGUUCAUGCAAGGAAUUUGAGCAUUCAGGAAUCUUGUGCAGGCAUAUUCUUCGGGUACUGACUGUGAAAAACUGCUUCCAUAUACCUGAACAGUACUUUCUGUUACGAUGGAGACAGGACAGUCCUCACGUUGCUGCAGAGAAUCAAAAUGGCCAGGGCAUUGGCGAUGACUGUGCUCAAACGUUUCAUUCGCUCACAGAAACUCUCCUCACAGAGUCUAUGAUCUCAAAGGAUCGACUUGAUUACGCUAACCAAGAACUUUCUCUACUUAUUGAUCGUGUGAGAAAUGUGCCACCAGCUAAUUGCUUGUAUCAGCCAUGACUGCUAAAUGCUAUCCAGCCAUUGAAAUGCUAAACAGCCGCGUUGACAGGCUAUGUUCGCAGCGUUUGGUCCAUCCCAGUAACAUAGUCUACACCUGUCCUGUUUCACUAGUAAAUUCUUUGAGUCUGUACUUUGGAGGCUAUAACCAUAUUGAGGUACUAUUCUUUUCAAGACCGUAGCAGCUCCUUCAUCGCCCUUACCUUGAGAAAUCGUCCCUUGAAGAUCCUUCUUUGUUCUUCAUUGCCUUCGGGGAGAGAAGCUAUCUCCUGUGAUAACUUGCAUCAUGAUCGAGUAGUUAUCUUUAUUGGCUUGUAUCGGGUGCUUCAAAGGUGAUUCAUGGUUUGAUUCUUCGAUUACAAUUUGAGUUACUCUGGGAUAUGUUUUGCAUACUACAUGUUGUUUGUUUGGAUUGCCUACCAAGCACUGAUUUUGGAGAAUAGAAAGCUCUACUCGUGUAGACUGAUGUGUGCGGUAUUUCACUUCAAUCUUUUUACCUGAAAAGACCACAUGAUAACUGCCACUGUACAGUAAAUAAGUUGAUCUCAGAGAUUGAAUUCA
Capsella rubella is the source of this 2903-nucleotide RNA transcript. It is a transcript of the gene named putative protein FAR1-RELATED SEQUENCE 10, with no coding region annotated. Lineage: Eukaryota; Viridiplantae; Streptophyta; Magnoliopsida; Brassicales; Brassicaceae. The transcript has 5 exons. The record is from RefSeq and is a predicted model, not a curated record.